Molecule: ribosomal RNA, 486 nt
Filed under: uncultured Flavobacteriaceae bacterium
Lineage: Bacteria; Pseudomonadati; Bacteroidota; Flavobacteriia; Flavobacteriales; Flavobacteriaceae
Description: bacterial SSU rRNA
Rfam family: Bacterial small subunit ribosomal RNA
Source: RNAcentral
GAUGAACGCUAGCGGCAGGCUUAACACAUGCAAGUCGAGGGGUAACAGGGGAGAGCUUGCUUUCUUGCUGACGACCGGCGCACGGGUGCGUAACGCGUAUAGUACCUACCUUAAACUGGGGUAUACCCUUUGGAAACGAAGAUUAAUCCCCCAUGUGGUUGUAAAGUAGCAUUAUUUUAUAAUUAAAGAUUUAUCGGUUUAAGAUGGCUAUGCGUCCUAUUAGCUAGAUGGUAAGGUAACGGCUUACCAUGGCAACGAUAGGUAGGGGUCCUGAGAGGGAGAUCCCCCACACUGGUACUGAGACACGGACCAGACUCCUACGGGAGGCAGCAGUGAGGAAUAUUGGUCAAUGGGUGAGAGCCUGAACCAGCCAUGCCGCGUGCAGGAAGACUGCCCUAUGGGUUGUAAACUGCUUUUAUAUGGGAAGAACAUCAGAUACGUGUAUUUGUUUGACGGUACCAUACGAAUAAGGACCGGCUAACUCCG